UACAGAGGAGCCAAGCGUUGUCCGGAUUGACUGGGCGUAAAGCGCACGCGGGCGGACGCGCGCGUGGGGUGUGAAAUCUGGCCGCUUAACGGCCAGGCGCCAUCCCAUACGGCGGGUCUGGAGCCUUGCAGAGGUCGGUGGAAUUCCUGGUGUAGCGGUGAAAUGCGCAGAUAUCAGGAGGAACACCGGUGGCGAAGGCGGGUCUCUGGGCCGAUACUGACGCUGAGGAGCGAAAGCGUGGGGAGCGAACAGG
Molecule: ribosomal RNA, 253 nt
Filed under: uncultured bacterium
Lineage: Bacteria
Description: partial 16S ribosomal RNA
Rfam family: Bacterial small subunit ribosomal RNA
Source: RNAcentral